Long non-coding RNA from Vespa mandarinia (Asian giant hornet), 863 nucleotides. The record is from RefSeq and is a predicted model, not a curated record. NCBI's taxonomy places the organism in Eukaryota, Metazoa, Arthropoda, Insecta, Hymenoptera, Vespidae.
CAUCCACGUUGCGACCAAGAUAUAACUCUGGCCAUUUCUCUUACCAAGGUUUAGAGGGGAGAAGAUAGGAUAGAGAAGGUUGCUCGUGGAAAAUGCGCAAUUUGGUCUGGCACUAGUAAAUACGAGAACGUUGGAAAAGUGAUUCCGCUGAUAUUGCUGCUUGAAAUUUAAGGUCGUCCUUGACACGUACGAAACAACUCCAUUUCCGUCGAUUGAAAAUGAAAAAGACACUGAUGAUAAUCGACGUUCAUUCUUCGAAGUCAUUAAAAAGACAAGUGAUUGUCAAUGAAAAAAUUGGGAUACAAUGAUAUCAUAGUGAUAAAUUCAUGAAUUAUAAAUUGUUCGAUGAGUAACGUGAUCGAAAUUUUAUGACGAAUGCUUGAUACAAAGUUAAAAAAUGAAAAAUAAGAAAAGAAAAAGAAGGAAAAAAAGGAAAAAACAAUUAAGAAUAAAUGAAAAUAAAAUAAUUAAUGAUAAACUAUAGAUAAUGGUAAACGAUUUAAGUAACGAUGAUAUAUGUAACGUUCGAUACGAAAUAUCGAUGCAAUUUGACGAUAAAAGAGUAACGAAUCCCUCGAAGCUAUCAGUAAAACCCGAGGCGAUAUUGCUAACGAGUUUCUGACGAUGCCUUAUGCGACCUACGGGUACCUUUUAUGUUCUAUAAUGUGCUUGCAAUCCAGGAUUCUCAGCCGGAUGUGGAUUUCGUCGACUCGAAAAAGGAAUACAGAGCUUCGAAACGAAAACUGACUGUAAGAUGAUGAAAAAGAAGGGGACAGGGAGAGAGGGAGGGAGGGAGAGAGAGAGAGAAAAGAGAUCUUGCGGCAGAGAAAUUGGAUGUGUAAGUUAGUUCGAAGGUUACAAAA